CCUACGGGAGGCAGCAGUGAGGAAUAUUGGUCAAUGGACGAGAGUCUGAACCAGCCAAGUAGCGUGAAGGAUGACUGCCCUAUGGGUUGUAAACUUCUUUUAUAUGGGAAUAAAAUGUUCCACGUGUGGGUUUUUGUAUGUACCAUAUGAAUAAGGAUCGGCUAACUCCGUGCCAGCAGCCGCGGUAAUACGGAGGAUUCAAGCGUUAUCCGGAUUUAUUGGGUUUAAAGGGAGCGUAGGUGGAUUGUUAAGUCAGUUGUGAAAGUUUGCGGCUCAACCGUAAAAUUGCAGUUGAAACUGGCAGUCUUGAGUACAGUAGAGGUGGGCGGAAUGCGUGGUGUAGCGGUGAAAUGCUUAGAUAUCACGAAGAACUCCGAUUGCGAAGGCAGCUCACUGGACUGCAACUGACACUGAGGCUCGAAAGUGUGGGUAUCAAACAGGAUUAGAUACCCGAGUAGUC
Molecule: ribosomal RNA, 460 nt
Filed under: uncultured bacterium
Lineage: Bacteria
Description: partial 16S ribosomal RNA
Rfam family: Bacterial small subunit ribosomal RNA
Source: RNAcentral